AAAAUUGCAAACAACACGUUAUUCAUUGCAUACGUCCGAAUCGCUUUUCUAGAUUUAUCUUCGUCGGGAACGCUCAAAGCCAAAUAUUUGAAAUCCGAGGAUGUAUACGAACCGACACUGUUGAAUAGCUACAUGUAUGCAUCCAAAAAGUACCUUAAAAAUAGCCAAAUCAAUCUAAGGUCAUCUUUGCCUGAGGGAGUUAAAACCUUCGUUUCCUCAUAAUUCUAUCAUUUAAGCUGUAAGAAGGUCUGUACCAAGUCAGGAAUAUGACAGUUGUAAUCGAUUCGUUUGAUGUGUUUGAGCUGUUGAUUUUGCUAUUUGAUUAGGGACUUUCAAUUUUGAAUUUUACUCGGAGUUCAGUAU
Molecule: long non-coding RNA, 363 nt
Filed under: Mytilus galloprovincialis (Mediterranean mussel)
Lineage: Eukaryota; Metazoa; Mollusca; Bivalvia; Mytilida; Mytilidae
Source: RNAcentral